GACGAACGCUGGCGGCGUGCUUAACACAUGCAAGUCGAACGGAAAGGCCCUGCUUUUGUGGGGUGCUCGAGUGGCGAACGGGUGAGUAACACGUGAGUAACCUGCCCUUGACUUUGGGAUAACUUCAGGAAACUGGGGCUAAUACCGGAUAGGAGCUCCUGCUGCAUGGUGGGGGUUGGAAAGAUUCGGCGGUUGGGGAUGGACUAGCGGCUUAUCAGCUUGUUGGUGGGGUAGUGGCUGACCAAGGCUUUGACGGGUAGCCGGCCUGAGAGGGUGACCGGCCACAUUGGGCCUGCGAUACGGCCCAGACUCCUACGGGAGGCAGCAGUGGGGAAUAUUGCACAAUGGGCGGAAGCCUGAGGCAGCAACGCCGCGUGCGGGAUGCCGGCCUUCGGGUUGUAAACCGCUUUCGCCUGUGACGAAGCGUGAGUGACGGUAAUGGGUAAAGAAGCACCGGCUAACUACGUG
Molecule: ribosomal RNA, 468 nt
Filed under: uncultured bacterium
Lineage: Bacteria
Description: partial 16S ribosomal RNA
Rfam family: Bacterial small subunit ribosomal RNA
Source: RNAcentral